AUACGUAGGGGGCGAGCGUUGUCCGGAAUGAUUGGGCGUAAAGGGCGCGUAGGCGGCCCGGUAAGUCUGGAGUGAAAGUCCUGUUUUUAAGCUGGGAAUUGCUUUGGAUACUGUCGGGCUUGAGUGCAGGAGAGGUAAGUGGAAUUCCCAGUGUAGCGGUGAAAUGCGUAGAGAUUGGGAGGAACACCAGUGGCGAAGGCGACUUACUGGACUGUAACUGACGCUGAGGCGCGAAAGUGUGGGGAGCAAACAGGAUUAGAUACCCUGGUAGUCCACACUGUAAACGAUGAAUGCUAGGUGUAGGGGGUAUCGACCCCUUCUGUGCCGCAGUCAACACAAUAAGCAUUCCGCCUGGGGAGUACGGCCGCAAGGUUGAAACUCAAAUGAAUUGACGGGG
This 397-nucleotide ribosomal RNA is filed under the name uncultured bacterium. RNAcentral's name for it is "partial 16S ribosomal RNA". It matches the Rfam family "Bacterial small subunit ribosomal RNA", at positions 523 to 918 of the family's 1533-position model. The record is from RNAcentral.